AGCGAACGCUGGCGGUAGGCCUAACACAUGCAAGUCGAACGGCAGUACAGUAAGAGCUUGCUCUUACGGGUGGCGAGUGGCGGACGGGUGAUGUAGACAUCGGAAACUACUGGUUCGUGUGUGAUAACGUAGGGAAACUUACGCUAAUACCGCAUACGACCUAUGUGUGAAAGCAGGCGAUCUUCGGACUUUGCGCGUUUGAAUAUGCCGAUGUAGGAUUAGCUAGUUGGCCGGGUAAAAGCCGACCAAGGCGAAGAUCCGUAGCUGGACUGAGAGGAUGAACAACCACACUGGAACUGAGACUGGGUCCAGACACCUAGAGGGGGCAGCAGUGGGGAAUAUUACGCAAUGGGCGAAAGCUUGAUCCAGCCAUACGGAGUGGAUGAAGAAGGCCUUAGGGUUGUAGAACCCUUUUGUUGGGAAAGAAAAGCAGCAGUUUAAUACCCCGCUGUUCUGACGUUACCCGAAGAAUAAGCCCCGGCUAACUUCGUG
RNAcentral lists this ribosomal RNA (492 nucleotides) under uncultured bacterium. RNAcentral's name for it is "partial 16S ribosomal RNA". It matches the Rfam family "Bacterial small subunit ribosomal RNA", at positions 29 to 507 of the family's 1533-position model. The record is from RNAcentral.